UACGACUAACUACGUUAGUCGGCAAAUACUCGUCUAUUAACGACUAUUUAACGAUUAUAUUAUUGAAGGGAGACGUUUGUCGUUACUUAGUCGCCAAUUGACGACUACCAUCUCCGACUACGUUAGUUAGUCGCCAAAUCAGCGACUAAUAUACGACAACUUUCGGUAAUUGUAAAAUAGUCGCAACUGAGUCGCAGAGUAGUCGCAUUAAGUAGUUGGAAAACG
RNAcentral lists this small RNA (225 nucleotides) under Arabidopsis thaliana (thale cress). RNAcentral describes it as "ATSL028400". Lineage: Eukaryota; Viridiplantae; Streptophyta; Magnoliopsida; Brassicales; Brassicaceae. The record is from RNAcentral.